AUGUCGGACACGUCAAAGUCGACGCGGCCGACGAAAUCGGCCUUGUGCUUGACGAUAAUCUGCAGCUGGUUGGACUGCAGCUGGGCUUGGGAGAAGGUGAACAUCUGCCGCCACACCGGGUUGGCGUUCUUCUCCACGUGCCGAGUCACGUCCUUGAGGUCACCUAGCUUCACCUCCACGUACGGGUCCAGCGCGCCGGUGAUGCCCAUGGUAGGCAGGUCCCGCGCCUUUACCACGCUCACGCACAGAUAUGACAUCUGCUCCAACGUAUCGUGCGUUGACGUCAUCUCGGUCGCCGGCAGUUGA
RNAcentral lists this ribosomal RNA (306 nucleotides) under Triticum aestivum (bread wheat). RNAcentral describes it as "partial small subunit ribosomal RNA". The record is from RNAcentral. Lineage: Eukaryota; Viridiplantae; Streptophyta; Magnoliopsida; Poales; Poaceae.